GGGUAGCAAAAAAUUAAAAAAAAUUAAAAUAAAAAUGUUAGGGUAGUUGGUUGCUCUCACUGUUCAUCUUCAGGUGAUGAAACAAAUCCAAGAAUAAAUCGGUUGGCUCUCCCAAGAUUUCAUGAUUUCAUCUUUCAUCCCAGCAGGAGGAUCCACCUGAGCCCUCCAGAACACUCCGCCACUUUCUCGCAUUUUCUCUCUCUCUCUCUCUCUCUCUCUCUCUCUCUCUCUCUGUAGAACACUCAAUCGCUUUCACGCAUAUAUACAGUCUUUCUCUGUGCAAAAUCUUGAAUCGCAGUGUGUUAUCUUUGAUUUUAAGGUGCUUCAUCCAAUCCCUUUCCCUUUUUUUGCUUCUUUGUUUCUGGGUUUUUCUUUUUUAUGCGCAUUUUCAAGACUGCAGAUCUGGGAAUCCAGCGAAAACUUUUUGUCCACUCUUUGUAAAAACAGUUUUUACCAAUGAAUGAGCAUAUAUAUAUAUAUUUAGUUAUACAUAUGGUGGAAUUUGUAAGUUUUCAUGUGUAGGGUUUCCGUAUUAAAAUCUUUUAUUUGAGAACUAGGGUUUUAAAGAAGUUGUAAGUGUUUCUUCUGUUAGCUUGGUUCUUGUUUUUUUUGCUAUUGGAAGGCUGACUUUAGGUUUUCUUAAAGUUUUAUGCUUGGAACACAUUCCGAUUGUAAGUUACCUAGUCCCAUCUAUUUAUUUAUUUUUAAAAUUUAAAACCAAAUCUAGUUUUGGUUGAGUUUUUUUAAUUUUUUUAUAUAAAUGUUUUUCCAUUUUUUUUCUUGGGUACUGCUUUUGGGUUUGGAAUUGGAGUUUUUGUUUCUCCUUUUUAGUCUUUUGCUUCUGAUUGAAUUAAGAUGGUGGAGGAAAUAUACUAAAUAUUUCAUCUUUGUCUUUGUGAUGAUUAGAAAACUGGGUGGAAAUUGGUAGUCUCUAUGCUGAUUUUGAUGAAAUAUUGAGUUAGGCUAUCCUUUCUUGGUGUUGUGGUUGGAAGAUCUGACAUCCUUAUUGUUUUAUAAUGGAUUAUGUUUGGUUUUUGUUAACUGUAAUUUAGAUGUUUUUGAUGAUCUACCUAAUAGGAAGCUGGACAAUAUAAUAUUUUUGUUGGAUUUUCAUUUUAUUUUGUCCUUGGAUGUUAUACUGCAUGUGAUAAUACUACUUUUGCAGUAAAGAAAUCUUGAUUUUACAUUGACCAAGUUAAUUGAUUGAUUUGUCAGUAUACAGUUUUGAUUUCAUGCUUGGAAGAGUUGGGAUCAUGCAUGCUCUCUAGUAAGGGUGUUAAUUUUUGUUUAUAGAGUUUGAUUGUGCUGAGAACUGUGGGUAUUAUUUAUUUUUUCAUAAUUUUAGUGAUCAUCCUCUUGUGCUCUUCAUUGGUUGCAAGGUCAAGAAGGCAUUGAACAGGAAUUACAACUUUAUGGUAAGCAUUUCCUGUUUGAUUGUUUCUUAUUUUGUGUCUUCUUUUUUCAAUGCAGAUCUAUCCCAAGCUUUGAUGCACAAUUGUUUGACGACGAGAGAGAGCACGCUCGUCAGCAUUCAUGUGUGGACAUGAUUGUAUACAAGCGUGCUGUCUAUCGUCGUCAUGAUUUGCUUGUCAAGGCUUGCCUGUUUCCUCUUCAUCUGUGCUUCCUUUCAUUUGUGCCAGCAGCCAAAGAGAGACUUUAUUGAUGAAAACACAAUUACAAAGUGAUGAGAUAUAUCAAUAAAGGGAAGGGGAGGGGAGGGGAGGGGAGGAGAGGGCAUAAGCAUCACAGUAAAGCAACCCCAUCCCAACUAGGUUGGCAUCAGGAAGCAAACCGUAUCAUUUGCAAGCACUAAUUCUCAGAAGUUGGUGAGCUACCAACAAGACAGCAACAACAGAGACAAUAGCAGCAACAACAAAAUCAAACAGAGAGCAACAACAACAUCAAACAAUAUAAACAAACCAAUGUUUAUAAUUUUAUUGAUGAAAACACAAUUACGAAGUUAUGAGAUACAUCAAUAAAGGAAAGGAAAGGGAAGGGAAGGGAAGGGGAGGGGAGGCGGAAAGGAAAGUGCAUAAGCAUCACAGUAAAACAACCCCAUCCCAACUAGGUUGACAUUGGAAAGCAAACGCUAUCAUUUGCAAGUACUAAUCCUCAGAAGUUGGUGAGCUAUCAGCAAGACAGCAACAGCAGAGACAAUAACAGCAACAGCAAAAUCAAACAGCAUAAACAUACCAAUACCUGCUUGUAUAAGGUGUGAGGUAGUUCUGCAGACCGAGGCUAGAGCUGAGUUUUGCUUCCAAAUGCUGCUUGUCUCAGAUAUAUAAGGUAUGUUUGUGCCUUGUUUUAUUUAUGUGCUGCUUAGUGGCUGACAUUGUUAUAGGCUUUUGUGUAGAAACAGGAAAUCAUCUAUUGUUGUGUUUCCCAUCUUCUCUUAUGUUGAAGUAAGCAUCACAAAUAUUACCAGUUGUGUUUCCCAUCUAGAGUUGUGUUUCCCAUCUCCUCUUUAUUGAUGUAUCUUUUCAUAUCUUGUAUGUUUGCAUCAAUAAAGAUUUAUUUGCCGAUCAAAAAAAAAAAAAAAAAAUAGGUUUGAUUGCUUUGAGGUGAAUGGAGCAUUUAAAUACCUCCAAAAAUGGGUGUGUAGUUGUAUCAUACACCCAUCUGUAUGACACACGACUGCUUCUGAUCUUGUGCUUCCCAGGCCAUGAUUUUUUAAUAUACUAGCAUGGAAAAACCUAAGAAAAUGGUAAGCUUGUUUGCAUCAGUGACCAAUCUUCUCAUGUCAAAACACUUCAGGACUAAUCAUGUAAUGAUACAAGGAACCCUAGUAGACAUAAUGCUUGUGGAAUAUGACUUUUUGUUGUGAAAAGUUGUGUGAUGAAAUUCUUACACCUUACCUUUCAAGUAACUGAUCAACAAUGAAGUCCUUGCGUAGGACAUUUGUAAAUUUUUUUUCUUUUUUUGGCAAUUAUUAUACUCUUGAGAUGCUUAUCAAAAAAAGAACAAAAACUAUUACCCUCUGGUAAUGAGACACCAAUUUCUUGCAAUUUUUGAUAGCAUUGUGAACAAAAAUUAUACGACAGUUCAUGUUGGAAGUUUGGCAGUAAAUGAUUCUAUUGUAAUGCAUUUGUUUAUUUAUACAUCUGUGUCUCAGCAACAUCUGUAUUAUUUAUUUUUGUCAGAACUCUAAUUCCCGUGUGUGUCGGGAUUUGUUAAAUCUUGAAACUAUGUCUAAGAGUUUGUGUUGCAUUUUUAACUAAUAAAAAAAAUAAAAUUAUGCAUGUUUACUGUGAGUAUAUUUAGAUAAUUCUGAAAAGCUUGCCAUCUAGAUCCACAGUGUAUUUUUUUGAACGGAGAUCUACAGUGUAUGCUUCUCCACAUUUGCAUAGGUCCAACUUUCUCAUUAUAAAGCUCCAGCUGGUGUGCUGUUCAACAUGUUACUGCCAAUUGCUUUUGAAGGUUGCUCUUUUACAUCGAAAGUAUUCAUAUGAUCUUCAUGAGCCAAACCAGAUCAAAUAGUAUUUCUGGCUUGAACUGCAGUCAAAGUGAUCUUGCUGGUUUUAGUUGUUUGUUUGGAGUAAAAUGUUUAUUCUCUUUCCUAUGGAAGAACAUAGUUUAAGGAAGUCCUUCAACUGGUACACAUGUUUUUGACAGACUCAUUGCUUCGAGUGUUUUUUUUUUAAUUUUUGAAUGAAUAGAUUAUAGGAGGUACUAUUAACAUUGACA
Camellia sinensis is the source of this 3684-nucleotide non-coding RNA. NCBI's taxonomy places the organism in Eukaryota, Viridiplantae, Streptophyta, Magnoliopsida, Ericales, Theaceae. The record is from RefSeq and is a predicted model, not a curated record.